Molecule: long non-coding RNA, 322 nt
Filed under: Homo sapiens (human)
Lineage: Eukaryota; Metazoa; Chordata; Mammalia; Primates; Hominidae
Description: HSALNT0212945
Source: RNAcentral
AAAUAGUAUUUUUACUACUACUAAUCAAAAGAUAACAACCAUGGGACUUCUUGCCAGUUAGCAGUAUCCUUCUCUAAUGGACAGAAGAAAGAAAAAGGAAUGAAGAGAGAUAUGGAACCUGGGGACCAGUGGGGCAAAGAAGAAUUAACAGCACCUACAUAGCUCUGAUUAUGUCAAGCACUUCGUCUAAAUGUUUGCACAGAUGAACUCAUUUAAGCCCCAGAACAACUCCGUGAGCUGAGUGCUUUUCACACAGCUCAGCUGGCAGGGAGCGCUGAAGAAACCAGAACGCUGGCGGCACAAUUUCAUGUCUGCCCUUCAU